Molecule: ribosomal RNA, 465 nt
Filed under: uncultured bacterium
Lineage: Bacteria
Description: partial 16S ribosomal RNA
Rfam family: Bacterial small subunit ribosomal RNA
Source: RNAcentral
GACGAACGCUGGCGGCGUGCUUAACACAUGCGAGUCGUACGGUAAGGCCCUUUCGGGGGUCCACGAGUGGCGCACGGGUGAGUAACACGUGAGUAACCUGCCCACAACUUUGGGAUAACGCUAGGAAACUGGUGCUAAUACUGGAUAUGUGCUCCUGCUGCAUGGUGGGGGUUGGAAAGCUCCGGCGGUUGUGGAUGGACUCGCGGCCUAUCAGCUUGUUGGUGGGGUAGUGGCCUACCAAGGCGGCGACGGGUAGCCGGCCUGAGAGGGUGACCGGCCACAUUGGGACUGAGAGACGGCCCAGACUCCUACGGGAGGCAGCAGUGGGGAAUAUUGCACAAUGGGCGCAAGCCUGAUGCAGCAACGCCGCGUGCGGGAUGACGGCCUUCGGGUUGUAAACCGCUUUCAGCAGGGACGAAGCUUUUUGUGACGGUACCUGCAGAAGAAGCACCGGCUAACUACGUG